AAUGAAGUUUUAGUGACUGAGUGGCGGACGGGUGAGUAACGCGUGGGUAACCUGCCUCACACAGGGGGACAACAGUUGGAAACGACUGCUAAUACCGCAUGAUGCAUAGGGAUCGCAUGAUUCUUAUGCCAAAGAUUUAUCGCUUCAAGAUGGCCUCGCGUCUGAUUAGCUAGUUGGCGGGGUAAUGGCCCACCAAGGCGACGAUCAGUAGCCGGACUGAGAGGUUGAACGGCCACAUUGGGACUGAGACACGGCCCAAACUCC
RNAcentral lists this ribosomal RNA (264 nucleotides) under uncultured Oscillibacter sp. Its description in RNAcentral is "partial 16S ribosomal RNA". It matches the Rfam family "Bacterial small subunit ribosomal RNA", at positions 73 to 339 of the family's 1533-position model. The record is from RNAcentral. Lineage: Bacteria; Bacillati; Bacillota; Clostridia; Eubacteriales; Oscillospiraceae.